AUGAUGGCGACUUAAACCCUCGCCAGAGUAACAAUUGGAGGGCAAGUCUGGUGCCAGCAGCCGCGGUAAUUCCAGCUCCAAUAGCGUAUAUUAAACUUGUUGCAGUUAAAAAGCUCGUAGUUGAAUUUCUGCGUUGCGUUGUUCUUGCUUUUUGCUUGAUUUUCGCUUCGCUUUUUGUUUUUACUUUGAGAAAAUUAGAGUGUUUAUCGCAGACUUUUGUCUUGAAUACUUCAGCAUGGAAUAACAUAGUAGGACCUUGGUUCUAUUUUGUUGGUUUGGGACCUUGGUAAUGG
RNAcentral lists this ribosomal RNA (293 nucleotides) under Babesia caballi. Its description in RNAcentral is "partial small subunit ribosomal RNA". It matches the Rfam family "Eukaryotic small subunit ribosomal RNA", at positions 514 to 868 of the family's 1831-position model. Lineage: Eukaryota; Apicomplexa; Aconoidasida; Piroplasmida; Babesiidae. The record is from RNAcentral.